CCAAUAGCGUAUAUUAAAGUUGUUGCAGUUAAAAAGCUCGUAGUUGAAUUUCGAGAUCGGUUUAUUGGUCGUGCUAUUGUACGUACUGGUAUUACCGGUUUCUCCUUUCUGACGAACCUUAAUGCCAUUAAUUUGGUGUUUUGGGAAAUCAGGACUGUUACUUUGAAAAAAUUAGAGUGUUUAAAGCAGGCUCACGCUUGAAUACAUUAGCAUGGAAUAACGGAAUAGGACGUUUGAUUCUAUUUUGUUGGUUUCUAGGAUCGACGUAAUGAUUAAUAGGGAUAGUUGGGGGCAUUAGUAUUCAAUUGUCAGAGGUGAAAUUCUUGGAUUUAUUGAAGACUAACUACUGCGAAAGCAUUUGCCAAGGAUGUUUUCAUUAAUCAAGAACGAAAGUUAGGGGAUCGAAGACGAUCAGAUACCGUCGUAGUCUUAACCAUAAACUAUGCCGACUAGGGAUCGGAUGAUGUUAAUUUUUUAAUGACUCAUUCGGCGCCUUACA
This 499-nucleotide ribosomal RNA is filed under the name uncultured Glomeromycotina. RNAcentral's name for it is "partial small subunit ribosomal RNA". It matches the Rfam family "Eukaryotic small subunit ribosomal RNA", at positions 591 to 1092 of the family's 1831-position model. The record is from RNAcentral. Lineage: Eukaryota; Fungi; Glomeromycota.